This 429-nucleotide ribosomal RNA is filed under the name bacterium. RNAcentral describes it as "partial 16S ribosomal RNA". It matches the Rfam family "Bacterial small subunit ribosomal RNA", at positions 355 to 776 of the family's 1533-position model. The record is from RNAcentral.
UAGGGAAUCUUCGGCAAUGGGGGCAACCCUGACCGAGCAACGCCGCGUGAGUGAAGAAGGUUUUCGGAUCGUAAAGCUCUGUUGUAAGAGAAGAACGUGUGUGAGAGUGGAAAGUUCACACAGUGACGGUAACUUACCAGAAAGGGACGGCUAACUACGUGCCAGCAGCCGCGGUAAUACGUAGGUCCCGAGCGUUGUCCGGAUUUAUUGGGCGUAAAGCGAGCGCAGGCGGUUUAAUAAGUCUGAAGUUAAAGGCAGUGGCUUAACCAUUGUUCGCUUUGGAAACUGUUAAACUUGAGUGCAGAAGGGGAGAGUGGAAUUCCAUGUGUAGCAGUGAAAUGCGUAGAUAUAUGGAGGAACACCGGUGGCGAAAGCGGCUCUCUGGUCUGUAACUGACGCUGAGGCUCGAAAGCGUGGGGAGCAAACAGG